ACUCCUACGGGAGGCAGCAGUGGGGAAUUUUGCACAAUGGGCGGAAGCCUGAUGCAGCGACGCCGCGUGGAGGAUGAAGGCCUUCGGGUUGUAAACUCCUUUUGUAGGGGACAAUGAUGAUGGUACCCUGCGAAUAAGCCACGGCUAACUCUGUGCCAGCAGCCGCGGUAAGACAGAGGUGGCGAGCGUUGUUCGGAAUCACUGGGCUUAAAGGGCGCGUAGGUGGUAGCGCAAGUCUGGGGUGGAAUCCUAUGGCUUAACCAUAGAAUUGCCUUGGAAACUGUAUUACUUGAGUCAGUGAGGGGAGGGUAGAAUUCCUGGUGUAGCGGUGAAAUGCGUAGAUAUCAGGAGGAAGGCCUGUGGCGAAGGCGGCCCUCUGGCGCUGAACUGACACUGAGGCGCGAAAGCGUGGGGAGCAAACAGGAUUAGAUACCCUGGUAGUCCACGCCCUAAACGGUGGGCACUAGGUGUAGGGCUCGUAAGGGUUCUGUGCCGAAGCGAAAGCAUUAAGUGCCCCGCCUGGGGAG
RNAcentral lists this ribosomal RNA (527 nucleotides) under uncultured bacterium. RNAcentral describes it as "bacterial SSU rRNA". It matches the Rfam family "Bacterial small subunit ribosomal RNA", at positions 335 to 880 of the family's 1533-position model. The record is from RNAcentral.